UGUGAUAAAAAUAGCUUGACAAGAAGGUA
This 29-nucleotide non-coding RNA is filed under the name Rattus norvegicus (Norway rat). The record is from RNAcentral. Lineage: Eukaryota; Metazoa; Chordata; Mammalia; Rodentia; Muridae.